Lolium perenne is the source of this 812-nucleotide non-coding RNA. The record is from RefSeq and is a predicted model, not a curated record. NCBI's taxonomy places the organism in Eukaryota, Viridiplantae, Streptophyta, Magnoliopsida, Poales, Poaceae.
CAGGUAUGAAGACCGGUACGAUGAAGGCGACGUUAGCAAGGUUACCCUUCCGGCUUGGCCUGGGCAGGGUUAUGGACGACACUGGUUAUCUUCAGGACUCUUAGUCCAAAUUUGUAUCUUGUCCGUACUCGGACAUAUUUGAUCUUUUGUAUGAUUUGGAUCUUUGUAUUGUAUAUUUGUAUCUUGACUCGUUGGAGUCGUUGUUGUAAUAUAUAUGUUUCUUGUGGGCUCUAUUGUAAUCCUGUUGUAAUGUUAUCGCUCGUGAUUGAUUCCACCUGCAUCGCGUGCAUGCUUAGGCGUGUACGAGGCGCUUGGUGGUGCGUCUCCUAGAAUCGAUAUCGUGCGGAUUUCGGCGGAUUCGCUGGGAUCCUCAUGGUACCGGUUUUGGGGCGUCACACCAGGGGGGCCCCACCCCACAAGGCGGUGCGGCCAGGGGGGUGGGCGCGCCACCCUAUGGUGUGGCCCCACCAGGGGCCCUCUGACGCCGCCCUUCCGCCUACUUAAGGCCUCCGUCGUGAAAACCCUACAACGAUCGACGAAACCCGCAGAAACCUUCCAGAGCCGCCGCCAUCGCGAAGCCAAGAUCUGGGGGACAGGAGUCUCUGUUCCGGCACGCUGCCGGGACGGGGAAGUGCCCCCGGAAGGCUUCUCCAUCGACACCAUCGCCAUCUCCAUCAACGCUGCUGUCUCCCAUGAGGAGGGAGUAGUUCUCCAUCGAGGCUAAGGGUUGUACCGGUAGCUAUGUGGUUAAUCUCUCUCCUAUGUACUUCAAUACAAUAAUCUCAUGAGCUGCCUUACAUGAUUGAGAUUCA